AGACCCGAAACCCGGUGAUCUAGCCAUGGGCAGGUUGAAGGUUGGGUAACACUAACUGGAGGACCGAACCGACUAAUGUUGAAAAAUUAGCGGAUGACCUGUGGCUGGGGGUGAAAGGCCAAUCAAACCGGGAGAUAGCUGGUUCUCCCCGAAAGCUAUUUAGGUAGCGCCUCGUGAAUUCAUCUCCGGGGGUAGAGCACUGUUUCGGCUAGGGGGCCAUCCCGGCUUACCAACCCGAUGCAAACUGCGAAUACCGGAGAAUGUUAUCACGGGAGACACACGGCGGGUGCUAACGUCCGUCGUGAAGAGGGAAACAACCCAGACCGCCAGCUAAGGUCCCAAAGUCAUGGUUAAGUGGGAAACGAUGUGGGAAGGCCCAGACAGCCAGGAUGUUGGCUUAGAAGCAGCCAUCAUUUAAAGAAAGCGUAAUAGCUCACUGGUCGAGUCGGCCUGCGCGGAAGAUGUAACGGGGCUAAACCAUGCACCGAAGCUGCGGCAGCGACACUGUGUGUUGUUGGGUAGGGGAGCGUUCUGUAAGCCUGUGAAGGUGGCCUGUGAGGGUUGCUGGAGGUAUCAGAAGUGCGAAUGCUGACAUAAGUAACGAUAAAGCGGGUGAAAAGCCCGCUCGCCGGAAGACCAAGGGUUCCUGUCCAACGUUAAUCGGGGCAGGGUGAGUCGACCCCUAAGG
RNAcentral lists this ribosomal RNA (688 nucleotides) under Salmonella enterica. Its description in RNAcentral is "partial 23S ribosomal RNA". It matches the Rfam family "Bacterial large subunit ribosomal RNA", at positions 711 to 1396 of the family's 2925-position model. Lineage: Bacteria; Pseudomonadati; Pseudomonadota; Gammaproteobacteria; Enterobacterales; Enterobacteriaceae. The record is from RNAcentral.